Molecule: long non-coding RNA, 332 nt
Organism: Amphimedon queenslandica
Lineage: Eukaryota; Metazoa; Porifera; Demospongiae; Haplosclerida; Niphatidae
Exons: 2
Source: RefSeq, a predicted model, not a curated record
AACUAUUAUGUAUUUAUAUGUGUAGUAGACAGUACUAGCUCAAGCUCCUCUACUGCUAGUAUCAGUCAAACCAGGAGAGAGACUGAAGAAGGUACAUUUAGAUCUAAUAUUGCUCAUAGAGUAAUGACAGAAUGUACUGGAAUCAUAAAAGAGAACCUCGACCUAAGUACAUGUUCACUGGUAGAUAGCCUGCUUGAGAAGAGGAUAAUAAACGAAAAGCAAAAGAAUCAAAUUACUGAUCAGCACUGUGGAUUGAAUGCUGAUCAGAGAAUGGACAAGUUACUUAGUUUAGUUAAAGCAUCCAUUCAAGUGAAUGGCCAAGUAUUUCAUUU